UACGUAGGGUGCAAGCGUUAAUCGGAAUUACUGGGCGUAAAGCGUGCGCAGGCGGUUAUGCAAGACAGAGGGGAAAUCCCCGGGCUCAACCUGGGAACUGCCUUUGUGACUGCAUAGCUAGAGUACGGUAGAGGGGGAUGGAAUUCCGCGUGUAGCAGUGAAAUGCGUAGAUAUGCGGAGGAACACCGAUGGCGAAGGCAAUCCCCUGGACCUGUACUGACGCUCAUGCACGAGAGCGUGGGGAGCAAACAGG
RNAcentral lists this ribosomal RNA (253 nucleotides) under uncultured bacterium. Its description in RNAcentral is "partial 16S ribosomal RNA". It matches the Rfam family "Bacterial small subunit ribosomal RNA", at positions 524 to 776 of the family's 1533-position model. The record is from RNAcentral.